UACGAAGGACCCGAGCGUUCUCCGGAUUUAUUGGGUUUAAAGGGUGCGUAGGCGGAUUAGUAAGUCAGUGGUGAAAGCCCAUCGCUUAACGGUGGAAUUGCCAUUGAUACUGCUAGUCUUGAGUAUGGUUGAGGUGGGCGGAAUGUGUCAUGUAGCGGUGAAAUGCUUAGAUAUGACCCAGAACACCAAUUGCGAAGGCAGCUCGCUAAACCAUAACUGACGCUGAUGCACGAAAGCGUGGGGAGCAAACAGG
This 253-nucleotide ribosomal RNA is filed under the name uncultured bacterium. RNAcentral describes it as "partial 16S ribosomal RNA". It matches the Rfam family "Bacterial small subunit ribosomal RNA", at positions 524 to 776 of the family's 1533-position model. The record is from RNAcentral.